This is a long non-coding RNA of Papio anubis (olive baboon), 2709 nucleotides long. The record is from Ensembl. Lineage: Eukaryota; Metazoa; Chordata; Mammalia; Primates; Cercopithecidae.
GGGACCCGGGAGACAGUCCAGCGGGCGACGUGCAGCCCACCGCCCGCACCCAGCAGCCCCGGGACCUCCGGCCCGUGACGUCAGCACGCUGACGUCGACGCACAGAGUUCGCAUCUCGCUCGAGGGACCAAAGACCCGACUGGCUCCCGAGCACCUCCGUAGAGGAGCCAACCUAUUGGUCAAAUGACCUGUCAAUCUCCUACUGACCAACUAAUGGAUGCUCCUCUGGCUAAAAGACUCCAAAAUGCUAAAUUCCUGGGCAUGGCAGGACAAAGGCUGGUCAUCUCCCAUUUGCCUCCACCUCCCUUCUUGAUAAAUGACUGCCGGCUGCAGACUGGCUUCAACUGGUCUCCAGAGGAUGCACAGUUCCUGGACUUUUCCCUACAUUUCACCUUUUACCAUGUAGGACCUAUUUAUAAUGCAUUAAAAUGUUAAAUCUCCAUCCCCAAAAGAACAUGGGUCAUUUGUCACCAUAUGUCUCAGACACAUAAUAUGCAUAUGUUUGGUGCUUUUCAUGAAUAUUCAUAAUAUGUUCCUAUAUCCUGUUGAAUAUGUAUGUUCUGCCUCCCAAUUUAGCAUUAAUACCCACUUCUUUCUCUCAUUUGAAUCAUGGCUUUACAUUCUAGGUUGGAGGCUCGCUUUCCACCUGCAGGAUAUAACCCCCUUAGAAAUAAAGUUAUCCUUUGCAUUUGCUGGCAUUGUGACUCUUUUUUAGUUACAUACAUACCUCAUUUCAUUGUUGACCCAAUCUGAGUGUGGCAUAAAACAUCCUCUUUUUAGACCUGUGAUGCUAAUUUAAGACAUUGAUUUUACGUUCAUCUAUUCAGUUAACAGAAGAGCCUAAAUUCAAGUGAGGGCACCGCUUUCAAUGCAAUAAGACAGUCCUUGCAGUCCCCCUUCUAAAACAACUAAUUUGAAUACAUUGCCUAAGCAAACCUUUUAAAGUUUCAUAUGUUGUAAAUUAGGAAAGCAGUGGAACAUAACGCCAUAAAAGCAUUCCCAGAACUUGAGAAUGAAAAAUCAUCUUAUAAAGAAAGAAGCAGAGUCCUAAAAUGAGAACCUGAGACUAAAGUCAUAGAUUCACCAACUUCAUAGCUGCCAAAACUCUAGAACCCAUUCUGACUUUUAUUUUUUCUUCUUUAAGUGACGAAAUAUUUCAAACACAUAGAAAAGAGUAGAGAAGAAUGAACAUUCUUCACAUGAAGUGUUGCCCUAUUUUAGUAAAAAUCUUUCAACCUGAAUUUUAGAGCCCUGUAUACCCCUCACUGAUUAUUUCUUUCUUCCUCCUCAGAGUUAACAUCCUUCUCAGCUUACUGCUCAUCAUUUUCUGACAGUUUUUGUUUGCUUGUUUGUUUGUUUGUUUGAGACGGAAUCUCACUGUGUUGCCAGACUGGAGUGCAGUGGCGGGAUCUCAGCUCACUGCAACCUCCACCUCCCAGGUUCAAGUGAUUCUCCUGCCUCAGCCUCCCGAGUAGCUGGGACUCCAGCGCCUGCCACCACACCCAGCUAAUUUUUGUAUUUUUGGUAGAGAUGGGGUUUCACCAUCUUGGCCAAGAUGGUCUCGAUCUCUUGACCUCAACAUUUUAAAUAUAAAUGGAGAAGCCCAUGAAAAAGCCAGAAGAAACAGAACAGAAGAAAGAUUAAGGAACGUGGUGUUGUCACAGUGCAUCAUUGAAGUGUUGAAAUGGUUAACAGUGUCAACUUUUAACCAUGCUGUUUUAAGAGGUAUUGUGAGAAUGCUCAGUUUUCAUGUAGGAAGGAAUGAAGGGAAUCGAAGAAUUUAUUCUACCACAAGACAGAAAAGCAUUCAGUCUUUUUCUCUGCCCACAGCCCCUAAAGCACACAAUUAAGUUCUUUCACUUAGAGAAACUUAUGUGACAGUGCCCAGAAUAAAAGAAUUUCAGACUUUAUAAAUCAACUACACAUGAAUAGUCUCUGUGAAAUAGUUCAGAGUACAAUUUCUUCUUAUCUGUUAAUAUUUCCACCUAUAAGAAUAUCACUUCAAAAAACAUUGCUUAUCAAAACUAAACCCUGUACAAACCCUUAGCCACUAUGUUUUGUUGCCUUCUCCAAAAGAAACUUGAGAGUUGAGGUUUGGAGCCAGUUGGAAUUCCAUCAUCAGCACUUCACUGGGCAACAUUGGACAUGUUAUUUAACCACUAUGAGCUUCAGCUUCCUCUCUCUUAAGUGGAAAUAAUAGGUUUGUUUUGAGGAUAAGUCAGUUAAUACAUGUAGUAAGUGCUUAACGAGUUGCAGUAAUGCUAAGACUCUCAUAGAUAUUUUUAAAAUGCCAUUGCUUUUUCUUUUGGUACCUCUUCCUCUCAACAUCUGAAUCCAACUCUUUUAUGUUUGCAACCUAUGGCUUUGGUUUACAUGUACUUAUUUGUAACUGAGUAUUCAUAUAAACAGUGUGAUGUCUCCUUGAUAAAAUUGGGCUCCUGCCCUCCUCAGAACUUUUUUUUUUACUCCCAGCACUUGUAUGGCAUCUCACUCUUAGUAUGUGACACAAUAAUAGACUGAAGAACAAAAUCAUGAUAAUCUUGGCAGAAGAAGAAAAUGUAUAUGAUGAAAUUCAACAUUCAUGAUUUAAGAAAAACACAUACUCUUAGAAAACUAGGUUUAAACAGACCCUCAAUAAUCUGAAAAAGAAUAUCUACAAAAAACACAAAACAACAGAACUUCAGCAAAUGUCAUACUUAGUGAAAAAAC